This 594-nucleotide ribosomal RNA is filed under the name uncultured bacterium. RNAcentral describes it as "bacterial SSU rRNA". It matches the Rfam family "Bacterial small subunit ribosomal RNA", at positions 13 to 621 of the family's 1533-position model. The record is from RNAcentral.
UUGAUCCUGGCUCAGGACGAACGCUGGCGGCGUGCCUAACACAUGCAAGUCGAGCGAAUGAAAUUCCUUCGGGAACGGAUUUAGCGGCGGACGGGUGAGUAACACGUGGGCAACCUGCCUCAUAGAGGGGAAUAGCCUUCCGAAAGGGAGAUUAAUACCGCAUAAGAUUGUAGUACCGCAUGGUACAGCAAUUAAAGGAGCAUCCGCUAUGAGAUGGGCCCGCGGCGCAUUAGCUAGUUGGUGAGGUAACGGCUCACCAAGGCGACGAUGCGUAGCCGACCUGAGAGGGUGAUCGGCCACAUUGGGACUGAGACACGGCCCAGACUCCUACGGGAGGCAGCAGUGGGGAAUAUUGCACAAUUGGGGGAAACCCUGAUGCAGCAACGCCGCGUGAGUGAUGACGGCCUUCGGGUUGUAAAGCUCUGUCUUCAGGGGACGAUAAUGACGGUACCUGAGGAGGAAGCCACGGCUAACUACGUGCCAGCCAGCCGCGGUAAUACGUAGGUGGCCGAGCGUUGUCCGGAUUUACUGGGCGUAACAGGGAGCGUAGCGGAUUUUUAAGUGAGAUGUGAAAUACUCGGGCUUACUGAGUGC